Molecule: RNA transcript, 1234 nt
Organism: Sapajus apella (tufted capuchin)
Lineage: Eukaryota; Metazoa; Chordata; Mammalia; Primates; Cebidae
Gene name: ER membrane protein complex subunit 2 pseudogene
Exons: 1
Source: RefSeq, a predicted model, not a curated record
CGAGGUUCUGGGAAGAUGGCGAAGGUCUCAGAGCUUUACGAUGUCACUUGGGAAGAAAUGCGAGAUAAAAUGAGAAAAUGGAGAGAAGAAAACUCACGAAAUAGUGAGCAAAUUGUGGAAGUUGGAGAAGAAUUAAUUAAUGAAUAUGCUUCUAAGCUUGGAGAUGAUAUUUAGAUCAUAUAUGAACAGGUGAUGAUUGCUGCACUAGACUAUGGUCGGGAUGACUUGGCAUUGUUUUGUCUUCAAGAGCUAAGAAGACAGUUCCCUGGCAGUCACAGAGUCAAGCGAUUAACAGGCAUGAGAUUUGAAGCCAUGGAAAGAUAUGAUGAUGCUAUACAGCUAUAUGAUAGGAUUUUACAAGAAGAUCCAACUAACACUGCUGCAAGAAAGCGUAAGAUUGCCAUUCGAAAAGCCCAGGGGAAAAAUGUGGAGGCCAUCCGGGAACUGAAUGAGUAUCUGGAACAAUUUGUUGGAGACCAAGAAGCCUGGCAUGAACUUGCAGAACUUUAUAUCAAUGAACAUGACUAUGCAAAAAAAGGCUUUUGUUUAGAGGAACUAAUGAUGACUAAUCCACACAACCACUUAUACUGUCAGCAGUAUGCUGAAGUUAAAUAUACCCAAGGUGGACUUGAAAACCUCGAACUUUCAAGAAAGUAUUUUGCACAGGCAUUGAAACUGAACAACAGAAAUAUGAGAGCUUUGUUUGGGCUUUAUAUGUCGGCAAGUCAUAUUGCUUCUAAUCCAAAAGCAAGUGCAAAAACGAAAAAGGACAACAUGAAAUACGCUAGUUGGGCAGCUAGUCAAAUAAACAGAGCUUAUCAGUUUGCAGGUAGAAGUAAGAAGGAAACCAAAUAUUCUCUUAAGGCAGUCGAAGACAUGUUGGAAACAUUACAGAUCACCCAGUCUUAAGGUUUCAAAAACUCUGACAUUAGAUUUCAAAACUGCACAAUUGAACUUAUUGGCCUGUAACUUACUUACUAAAUGCCCAGUGCUAUUUAUAUGCUACAGUAAUUUUCUGUUAAGAAGGCAGUUGUAAAGAAUGUGUUUAUAUAAACCUAAAAAUGCCUUUUACUGCCAAGUGGGAAGAUGGGGGAAAUCCAUGGAAUAGAGAUUUAAGACUUACUGAUUGCACAUCAGUCUCUUCAUAUCACACAAACACACACACACACACACACACACACAUAUAUAUAAACCUAAUGUAGAAUAACCUUGUUAAAUAAACCGUGAUGAUUUA